RNAcentral lists this microRNA precursor (87 nucleotides) under Sus scrofa (pig). RNAcentral describes it as "mir-1296 microRNA precursor family". It matches the Rfam family "mir-1296 microRNA precursor family". The record is from Rfam by way of RNAcentral. Lineage: Eukaryota; Metazoa; Chordata; Mammalia; Artiodactyla; Suidae.
UACCUAACUGGGUUAGGGCCCUGGCUCCAUCUCCUUUAGGAAAACCUUCUGUGGGGAGUGGGGUUUUGACCCUAACCCAGCUGGGCU